UUCCUCUUACAGUGACAGAGUCCACCAGACUCCAGCUGAGAUGAUCAUCGGCCACGAAGGAACAGCCACAAUCAGCUGUACUCACAGUAUUGACAACUACAACUUAGUCCUCUGGUACAAAUUGUCAAAGGAUACAAAACUGCAGUUCCUCGGGUACCUGAUAGCAGCUCAAGCGGGAACGCCGGAGCCUGGCCUGGGUGUGAGGAUCGGGGGGAGAGCACACGCGGGAUACAACUGCACGUUAACCAUUGAAGGGCUGAGUGAGAGCAGCAGUGCAGAGUUCUUCUGUGCUGUCAGUCUGGGACACACUGCUGCAUGUCACUGCUCCUCAGUGCAAAAACCUCCUCAACAUAAGCUGCCUUUAUCUCUGUGCAACAGCUCUGUGCACCUGGAAUAACCCGCUCAGAACAGUGGUGGUUCUGAGAGCGAUGGGAGAUUAUUACGCAGAUAUUCAUCCCGUCUGCUGUGGCUGCUUCUCAUGUUAAAGUGCUCCAUUAAGCUUUCCCUUAAAACUGUAACUUGAAUUAUUAUUUUUUUUUAAUCAUCCCAGCAGGUGGAGCUGUAGCUACAUAGAUGCAGAACUAUGGGAUAUGAUGAGGGGAGGGGGCAUUAAUGAGAGUCUGCAGGGGUCUGUAGUUCAGUCGAGUUUCUGCAGCGUUCUGUGUUCAUUCAGAGAGGAGGACAACAUGCCAACAUUACUCUUUCUAUCAUCGAUCAUUGGUGUUUGUCUGGGUGUUGAGGUGAGGCAGACCCCUGCAGAGCUCCUGAUGAGUCCAGGAGACAAGGUGCAGCUGGUCUGCAGCCAUGAGCAGGCCGACUUCACCUUCAUGCAGUGGUACCAACAACCCCCCGGAGAGAGAGCUCUGAAACGCAUCGGACACUUGAACUUUGGCAACAAAGAAUACGAGGAGCCUUUCAAAGAACAUUUUAAAAUGUCUGGAGACCUGAGUGGAGACGAAGCGAAGAACGCGUCUCUGUUCAUAGACACGCUGAAGGCAGAGGAGCACAGUGCCGUGUAUUUCUGCGCUGCCAGCUACGCACACUGACUGCACAGACCCCCUGCUCACACAAAAACUACCGUUACUGUUGGGAGUCAUUCAAGUAAGAGCCAGAAUCAAUACAAUAAACAUGUUACUUUAGCACAUUUCUAUUUCUAAGUUCUAUUUUAUUUAAUUUUGUAUAUUCCAAUGUUA
Molecule: non-coding RNA, 1193 nt
Organism: Trematomus bernacchii (emerald rockcod)
Lineage: Eukaryota; Metazoa; Chordata; Actinopteri; Perciformes; Nototheniidae
Source: the annotation of a RefSeq genome assembly